AUCCAGCUGACGAGUCCCAAGUAGAACGAAAUACGCAUCCUGGAU
This 45-nucleotide non-coding RNA is filed under the name Trichobilharzia regenti. Lineage: Eukaryota; Metazoa; Platyhelminthes; Trematoda; Strigeidida; Schistosomatidae. The record is from RNAcentral.